UGGAGCUUUAAACAGCUCUGAGUAAGCUAACAAAAUAAGAUAAUAAGAUUCUGGUGCUGAAAAGCUGAGUAUGCGACCCUGAUCAUCA
Unclassified non-coding RNA from Neogale vison (American mink), 88 nucleotides. Lineage: Eukaryota; Metazoa; Chordata; Mammalia; Carnivora; Mustelidae. The record is from Ensembl.